AUUGAACGCUGGCGGCAUGCUUUACACAUGCAAGUCGAACGGCAGCGCGGGCUUCGGCCUGGCGGCGAGUGGCGAACGGGUGAGUAAUACAUCGGAACGUGCCCAGUAGUGGGGGAUAGCUCGGCGAAAGCCGGAUUAAUACCGCAUACAACCUGAGGGUGAAAGCGGGGGAUCUUCGGACCUCGCGCUAUUGGAGCGGCCGAUGGCAGAUUAGCUAGUUGGUGGGGUAAAGGCCUACCAAGGCGACGAUCUGUAGCUGGUCUGAGAGGACGACCAGCCACACUGGGACUGAGACACGGCCCAGACUCCUACGGGAGGCAGCAGUGGGGAAUUUUGGACAAUGGGCGAAAGCCUGAUCCAGCAAUGCCGCGUGUGCGAUGAAGGCCUUCGGGUUGUAAAGCACUUUUGGCGGGAACGAAAAGGACUGUGCCAAUACCACGGUUCGAUGACGGUACCCGCAGAAUAAGCACCGGCUAACUACGUG
RNAcentral lists this ribosomal RNA (484 nucleotides) under uncultured bacterium. Its description in RNAcentral is "partial 16S ribosomal RNA". It matches the Rfam family "Bacterial small subunit ribosomal RNA", at positions 29 to 507 of the family's 1533-position model. The record is from RNAcentral.